This 253-nucleotide ribosomal RNA is filed under the name uncultured bacterium. Its description in RNAcentral is "partial 16S ribosomal RNA". It matches the Rfam family "Bacterial small subunit ribosomal RNA", at positions 524 to 776 of the family's 1533-position model. The record is from RNAcentral.
UACGAAGGGGGCGAGCGUUGUUCGGAUUUACUGGGCGUAAAGGGCGCGCAGGCGGCUCAUUUUGUCAGGCGUGAAAGCCCCGGGCUUAACCUGGGAACUGCGUUUGAUACGGGUGGGCUAGAGUUCGGGAGUGGAGAGUGGAAUUCCCAGUGUAGAGGUGAAAUUCGUAGAUAUUGGGAAGAACACCGGUGGCGAAGGCGGCUCUCUGGACCGAUACUGACGCUGAGGCGCGAAAGCGUGGGGAGCAAACAGG